AUUGAACGCUGGCGGCGUGCUUAACACAUGCAAGUCGUGCGGUAACAGGCGUAGCAAUACGUGCUGACGAGCGGCGAACGGGUGCGUAAUACAUGGGAAUCUGCCUUUUAGUGGGGAAUAACCCGGCGAAAGCCGGGCUAAUGCCGCAUAAGAUCUUCGGAUGAAAGCGGGGGAUCGUAAGACCUCGCGCUGAUAGAUGAGCCCAUGCCGGAUUAGCUAGNGGUGAGGUAACGGCUCACCAAGGCGACGAUCCGUAGCUGGUCUGGAGAGGACGGCCAGCCACACUGGGACUGAGACACGGCCCAGACUCCUACGGGA
This 318-nucleotide ribosomal RNA is filed under the name uncultured bacterium. Its description in RNAcentral is "bacterial SSU rRNA". It matches the Rfam family "Bacterial small subunit ribosomal RNA", at positions 30 to 346 of the family's 1533-position model. The record is from RNAcentral.